This 778-nucleotide long non-coding RNA is filed under the name Anser brachyrhynchus (Pink-footed goose). Its description in RNAcentral is "lncRNA (ENSABRG00000005282.1)". Lineage: Eukaryota; Metazoa; Chordata; Aves; Anseriformes; Anatidae. The record is from RNAcentral.
GGGAAGCAGCUACAGCACCGCACGUCCCGUUUGCGUGCCCCGGCUGUGUGGCAGCUGUGCCCCAGCGCUCCGCAGCCUGCCUGUGCCACGCAGGACCGUGACCAGCGGGCAGCUCGCAGCACCCAGCGCCACGGGGAGCUGCAGGACGCAGUUGCCGAAGACCUUUCAACAUCAGGCCUGGAGCCUUUGAACUCUGCCGAGGGUGCGAGGCCAGCGGCUGAACCGCGUGCCUCAGGGAGGCAAACCCGGUGGUCCAGAGGCCCGGGGCCCUGCCUGCGGCCUCCUGCUGCCACAAGGCCCUGCCCCGGCCCCUGCGCUGCCACCUCCGUGCCCGCCGUGCUGCACGGUGCCACUGCCCGGCCGCUGCAGCCACUUCCUUGCGUGGCGACGUCUGCGCCUUGCAGGCCCUUCCUCUCACCUGAAAUGCUGCCAUCAAGAUUGGCAUAAUAAAGAAGGAAGAUCUUUGUGAUGUAAACCUCCCUGCACUAAUGUAGAUUUCCUCGCACCAUUGUACAUGUGGCAUUUAAACUGGCCGUGUCCACUAGAGACUUUUCAAGCCUGUUGGCUCAUACCACACCUGGAAAUGGAAAUGCUUUUAAUUUCUGCAGUGCCACAGCUGUUCUAUUUUAAAUGGACCAGCCUUAAAACGGCUACACCUGGUGGAGCCUGGCACAUGGAACAUGGCUGUUGAAGAGGCUGAAACUUUUAAUGCAUUGUGAUAAGCAGAAACUAAAUACCAUGAAAUAAAACGUGGUCAAGAAGUACUUGCUCUUUUUUA